Molecule: ribosomal RNA, 484 nt
Filed under: uncultured bacterium
Lineage: Bacteria
Description: partial 16S ribosomal RNA
Rfam family: Bacterial small subunit ribosomal RNA
Source: RNAcentral
AUUGAACGCUGGCGGCAGACCUAACACAUGCAAGUCGAGCGGAUGAAGGGAGCUUGCUCCUGGAUUCAGCGGCGGACGGGUGAGUAAUGCCUAGGAAUCUGCCUGGUAGUGGGGGAUAACGUCCGGAAACGGGCGCUAAUACCGCAUACGUCCUGAGGGAGAAAGUGGGGGAUCUUCGGACCUCACGCUAUCAGAUGAGCCUAGGUCGGAUUAGCUAGUUGGUGGGGUAAAGGCCUACCAAGGCGACGAUCCGUAACUGGUCUGAGAGGAUGAUCAGUCACACUGGAACUGAGACACGGUCCAGACUCCUACGGGAGGCAGCAGUGGGGAAUAUUGGACAAUGGGCGAAAGCCUGAUCCAGCCAUGCCGCGUGUGUGAAGAAGGUCUUCGGAUUGUAAAGCACUUUAAGUUGGGAGGAAGGGCAGUAAGUUAAUACCUUGCUGUUUUGACGUUACCAGCAGAAUAAGCACCGGCUAACUUCGUG